Long non-coding RNA from Brienomyrus brachyistius, 535 nucleotides. RefSeq lists it as uncharacterized. The record is from RefSeq and is a predicted model, not a curated record. NCBI's taxonomy places the organism in Eukaryota, Metazoa, Chordata, Actinopteri, Osteoglossiformes, Mormyridae. The transcript is spliced from 2 exons.
UACUGUCUCUGUUUUUUGUUUUCCUGUACUUCUUAAUUUUUUACAACCUUUUUCUGUUUACACAUACUUUAUUUUAUGGAUGUUUUCAUCCAAAAUAUCAUACAGUUGAGCUUAGCAGUGAAGUCACUCUACAAGAAUUGAAUCCGCGACCUCCAAAUUCUAACCAGAGAAUCCUAACCCACUGAGACACCCAGCAUACCAACUGAAAUCUGGGAGGACCAACAAACCACAGCCCUGAACAAACAGAUCUGAUCUUAGUGUGAAUACAGUCUUCAGUUCCACCAAGUGCCAAUGGCAGCAGCAUCGACAGAAGUGGGCGGCAGAACUACAGAGCGAGAGAGACCUCUUCACAUUCUCACUGUCAACGUUAAUGGGCUGAAAACAAAUGGCAAAGGACUCAUAGAAGAACUUGAAAAAUUAAAAUCUGAAAACAGGGAGGUUGAUGUUCUUUUCUUAACAGAGACUCGCAUUGGAGAUGCUGAUGCUUUGACAAAUUUUAAAACGAAUUGGGAAAUAUUCUUCACAUGCAAUGAUU